UACGUAGGGUGCAAGCGUUGUCCGGAAUUACUGGGCGUAAAGCGCACGUAGGCGGCUCUGCAAGUUAGAGGUGAAAGCCCGGGGCUCAACUCCGGAAUUGCCUUUAAAACUGCAUCGCUAGAAUUGUGGAGAGGUGAGUGGAAUUCCGAGUGUAGAGGUGAAAUUCGUAGAUAUUCGGAAGAACACCAGUGGCGAAGGCGACUUACUGGACACAUAUUGACGCUGAGGUGCGAAAGCGUGGGGAGCAAACAGG
This 253-nucleotide ribosomal RNA is filed under the name uncultured bacterium. RNAcentral's name for it is "partial 16S ribosomal RNA". It matches the Rfam family "Bacterial small subunit ribosomal RNA", at positions 524 to 776 of the family's 1533-position model. The record is from RNAcentral.